RNAcentral lists this ribosomal RNA (473 nucleotides) under uncultured delta proteobacterium. RNAcentral describes it as "bacterial SSU rRNA". It matches the Rfam family "Bacterial small subunit ribosomal RNA", at positions 400 to 863 of the family's 1533-position model. The record is from RNAcentral. Lineage: Bacteria; Deltaproteobacteria.
CGUGAGUGAUGAAGGCUUUCGGGUCGUAAAGCUCUGUCAAGUGGGAAGAACCUAUGGGGGUCCAACAGGCCCUUGUACUGACGGUACCACUGAAGGAAGCACCGGCUAACUCCGUGCCAGCAGCCGCGGUAAUACGGGGGGUGCAAGCGUUAUUCGGAAUUAUUGGGCGUAAAGGGCGCGUAGGCGGUCAAGUAAGUCAGAUGUGAAAUCCCGGGGCUCAACCCCGGAAGUGCAUUUGAUACUGCGUGACUUGAGUAUGGGAGAGGGAAGUGGAAUUCCUGGUGUAGAGGUGAAAUUCGUAGAUAUCAGGAGGAACACCGGUGGCGAAGGCGACUUCCUGGACCAAUACUGACGCUGAGGCGCGAAGGCGUGGGUAGCAAACAGGAUUAGAUACCCUGGUAGUCCACGCAGUAAACGGUGAUCACUAGGUGUAGCGGGUAUUGACCCCUGCUGUGCCGUAGUUAACGCAUUAA